Molecule: long non-coding RNA, 317 nt
Organism: Ochotona curzoniae (black-lipped pika)
Lineage: Eukaryota; Metazoa; Chordata; Mammalia; Lagomorpha; Ochotonidae
Exons: 3
Source: RefSeq, a predicted model, not a curated record
AUCUGACUUUCUCUCUGACUUUGUCACCAGUUCAACUGUUUGGCUUACAAGCUGGUUAUCACAUGGUGUGUAUUGGGCCUGACUCAUGUGUGCACACAUUACCAAAGCUCAUCAUUCUCCAUCAUUCAAAAAUAAAUGAGAGAAUCUCAAUUUCUGCAACGUUGAUAAAUGGUUUCAGGAACUCUGCUUUCCAGUUACUGUGAUUCAGUUGGAGAAAACAAAGUCCGGAGAAAUUGCGUAGAUGUGUUACUAAAAUGAACAGUUCAGGGGGAGAAAAUAUGUGCAUGCACUUGAAAAUGGUUUUGUAUCCAAAAUAG